AAGCAAUUCAUUCCGUCAGAUGUUCCGGUCAACAAGGAUGUGGUGCUUUUUAACCGUGGGAUGCUGCCAGCCUACUAUGGCAUUCUGAGGCUCUGCUGUGAGCAGUCUCCUGCAUUCACACGACAACUGGCUUCUCACCAGAACAUCCAGUGGGCCUUUAAGAAUCUUACACCACAUGCCAGCCAAUACCCUGGAGCAGUAGAAGAACUGUUUAACCUGAUGCAGCUGUUUAUAGCUCAGAGGCCAGAUAUGAGAGAAGAAGAAUUAGAAGAUAUUAAACAGUUCAAGAAAACAACCAUAAGUUGUUACUUACGUUGCUUAGAUGGCCGCUCCUGCUGGACAACUUUAAUAAGUGCCUUCAGAAUACUAUUAGAAUCUGAUGAAGACAGACUUCUUGUUGUAUUUAAUCGAGGGUUGAUUCUAAUGACAGAGUCUUUCAACACUUUGCACAUGAUGUAUCACGAAGCUACAGCUUGCCAUGUGACUGGAGAUUUAGUAGAACUUCUGUCAAUAUUUCUUUCGGUUUUGAAG
Molecule: small RNA, 531 nt
Filed under: Pan troglodytes (chimpanzee)
Lineage: Eukaryota; Metazoa; Chordata; Mammalia; Primates; Hominidae
Description: processed transcript
Source: RNAcentral